GACGAACGCUGGCGGCGUGCUUAACACAUGCAAGUCGAACGGAAAGGCCCCCACCUUGGUGGGUGUGCUCGAGUGGCGAACGGGUGAGUAACACGUGUGUGAUCUGCCCUGUACUUGGGGAUAAGCUUGGGACACUGGGUCUAAUACCGGAUAGGACCAUGGUUCAGUGUCGGAUGGGGGAAGAAUCAUUGUUUUGGUACGGGAUGAGCUCGCGGCCUAUCAGCUUGUUGGUGGGGUAAUGGCCUACCAAGGCGGUGACGGGUAGCCGGCCUGAGGGGGUGCACGGCUGCGUUGGGAACGGGCUACGGCGCAGCCUCCUUCGGGCCGCGGCAGUGGGGAGUAGUGCCCGAUGGGAACAUGCCUGAUGGAGCGGCGCCGCGUGGGAGAUGCCCGCCUUCGGGUUGUAAGCUCCUUUCGUUAGAGACGAAGCCCCACCUUUUUUGGGUGUGGGGACGGUUCCUUUGUUAAGAAGCACCGGCUAACUACGUG
This 489-nucleotide ribosomal RNA is filed under the name uncultured bacterium. RNAcentral describes it as "partial 16S ribosomal RNA". It matches the Rfam family "Bacterial small subunit ribosomal RNA", at positions 28 to 507 of the family's 1533-position model. The record is from RNAcentral.